UACGGAGGGUGCGAGCGUUGUCCGGAAUCACUGGGCGUAAAGGGCGCGUAGGCGGCUCAUGAAGGCUGUGGUGAAAGUCCGGGGCUCAACCUCGGAUCGGCCGUGGCGACUCGUGGGCUGGAGCACUGUAGAGGCGGGUUGAAUUCCGGGUGUAGCGGUGGAAUGCGUAGAGAUCCGGAAGAACACCAGUGGCGAAGGCGGCCCGCUGGGCAGUGGCUGACGCUGAAGCGCGACAGCGUGGGGAGCAAACAGG
This 253-nucleotide ribosomal RNA is filed under the name uncultured bacterium. Its description in RNAcentral is "partial 16S ribosomal RNA". It matches the Rfam family "Bacterial small subunit ribosomal RNA", at positions 524 to 776 of the family's 1533-position model. The record is from RNAcentral.